Pseudophryne corroboree (corroboree frog) is the source of this 2071-nucleotide long non-coding RNA. RefSeq lists it as uncharacterized. Lineage: Eukaryota; Metazoa; Chordata; Amphibia; Anura; Myobatrachidae. The transcript is spliced from 2 exons. The record is from RefSeq and is a predicted model, not a curated record.
ACCCACUGUUCCCCGCUUGUGUUGUGUGGACUGUUGUAUGUACCUCUUUUUUCAGCCCCAGGGUGACACUAUUACCCACAUCUGGUAGCUCAUACUGUUCUCUUCCACAGGUCCUGCGGUGUAUCUUCCCAAGUGGCGUGGAUGUGAGGAGACACGACAUUUCACCUGAUGUUCCAUGGGUGACCCUACUGGUGAUGUGGACCUGACCCUCCGCCAUGUAGCAGACAACCCCCUCAGGUGAGAUGCAAUUGACCAACAAAACUCCCUUGUCCAAAAUCACCCUGGCAUGUCCAAAGUGCAGCCCUCCGGCAUUUGCAAGACUGCACAUCCAAACAUUCCCUGAAACAGCAAUGCUGGAGCGGGGAAUGUUUGGAUGUGUAGUGAUGCAAGUGCAGGAGGGUUGCAUUUGGACCCACUGUUCCCCGCUUGUGUUGUGUGGACUGUUGUAUGUACCUCUUUUUUCAGCCCCAGGGUGACACUAUUACCCACAUCUGGUAGCUCAUACUGUUCUCUUCCACAGGUCCUGCGGUGUAUCUUCCCAAGUGGCGUGGAUGUGAGGAGACACGACAUUUCACCUGAUGUUCCAUGGGUGACCCUACUGGUGAUGUGGACCUGACCCUCCGCCAUGUAGCAGACAACCCCCUCAGGUGAGAUGCAAUUGACCAACAAAACUCCCUUGUCCAAAAUCACCCUGGCAUGUCCAAAGUGCAGCCCUCCGGCAUUUGCAAGACUGCACAUCCAAACAUUCCCUGAAACAGCAAUGCUGGAGCGGGGAAUGUUUGGAUGUGUAGUGAUGCAAGUGCAGGAGGGUUGCAUUUGGACCCACUGUUCCCCGCUUGUGUUGUGUGGACUGUUGUAUGUACCUCUUUUUUCAGCCCCAGGGUGACACUAUUACCCACAUCUGGUAGCUCAUACUGUUCUCUUCCACAGGUCCUGCGGUGUAUCUUCCCAAGUGGCGUGGAUGUGAGGAGACACGACAUUUCACCUGAUGUUCCAUGGGUGACCCUACUGGUGAUGUGGACCUGACCCUCCGCCAUGUAGCAGACAACCCCCUCAGGUGAGAUGCAAUUGACCAACAAAACUCCCUUGUCCAAAAUCACCCUGGCAUGUCCAAAGUGCAGCCCUCCGGCAUUUGCAAGACUGCACAUCCAAACAUUCCCUGAAACAGCAAUGCUGGAGCGGGGAAUGUUUGGAUGUGUAGUGAUGCAAGUGCAGGAGGGUUGCAUUUGGACCCACUGUUCCCCGCUUGUGUUGUGUGGACUGUUGUAUGUACCUCUUUUUUCAGCCCCAGGGUGACACUAUUACCCACAUCUGGUAGCUCAUACUGUUCUCUUCCACAGGUCCUGCGGUGUAUCUUCCCAAGUGGCGUGGAUGUGAGGAGACACGACAUUUCACCUGAUGUUCCAUGGGUGACCCUACUGGUGAUGUGGACCUGACCCUCCGCCAUGUAGCAGACAACCCCCUCAGGUGAGAUGCAAUUGACCAACAAAACUCCCUUGUCCAAAAUCACCCUGGCAUGUCCAAAGUGCAGCCCUCCGGCAUUUGCAAGACUGCACAUCCAAACAUUCCCUGAAACAGCAAUGCUGGAGCGGGGAAUGUUUGGAUGUGUAGUGAUGCAAGUGCAGGAGGGUUGCAUUUGGACCCACUGUUCCCCGCUUGUGUUGUGUGGACUGUUGUAUGUACCUCUUUUUUCAGCCCCAGGGUGACACUAUUACCCACAUCUGGUAGCUCAUACUGUUCUCUUCCACAGGUCCUGCGGUGUAUCUUCCCAAGUGGCGUGGAUGUGAGGAGACACGACAUUUCACCUGAUGUUCCAUGGGUGACCCUACUGGUGAUGUGGACCUGACCCUCCGCCAUGUAGCAGACAACCCCCUCAGGUCUUCCGGUGUAUCCUUCCUAAGUGGCGUGGAUGUGAAGAGACAGUUCCCCUGAUGUUCCCUGGGCAAUCUACUUACGUACAAUUCAACUGCAUUACAAAUUUUAAUAAAAACCACAGGAAACUUCUAUUUUUAAAAGUUUAUUGAAGAAAAAAUUUUUUUAAUAAAGUUUGAAAGUUAAUUAAAACAAAAAA